This 508-nucleotide ribosomal RNA is filed under the name uncultured organism. RNAcentral's name for it is "SSU rRNA". It matches the Rfam family "Bacterial small subunit ribosomal RNA", at positions 10 to 509 of the family's 1533-position model. The record is from RNAcentral.
AGUUCGAGUCCUGGCUCGAGGACGAACGCUGGCGGCGUGCUUAAUACAUGCAAGUCGAACGGAGUUAUUCCGCCGAUCAAGGUUUCGGCUGAGAUCAUGGGAUAGCUUAGUGGCGAACGGGUGAGUAACGCGUGAACAACCUGACUCAAAGAGGGGGAUAACAACGGGAAACUGUUGCUAAUACCGCAUAAGACCACAGUGCCGCAUGACACAGGGGUCAAAGAGAUAUCGCUUUGAGAGGGGUUCGCGUCCCAUUAGGUAGUUGGAGGGGUAACGGCCCACCAAGCCGACGAUGGGUAGCCGAGCUGAGAGGCUGAUCGGCCACACUGGAACUGAGACACGGUCCAGACUCCUACGGGAGGCAGCAGUAGGGAAUAUUGGGCAAUGGGCGCAAGCCUGACCCAGCAACGCCGCGUGAGGGAAGAAGGUUUUCGGAUUGUAAACCUCUGUCCUAUGUGACGAAGGAAGUGACGGUAGCAUAGGAGGAAGCCCCGGCUAACUACGUGCC